This 391-nucleotide ribosomal RNA is filed under the name Escherichia coli. RNAcentral describes it as "bacterial SSU rRNA". It matches the Rfam family "Bacterial small subunit ribosomal RNA", at positions 1 to 388 of the family's 1533-position model. The record is from RNAcentral. Lineage: Bacteria; Pseudomonadati; Pseudomonadota; Gammaproteobacteria; Enterobacterales; Enterobacteriaceae.
AAAUUGAAGAGUUUGAUCAUGGCUCAGAUUGAACGCUGGCGGCAGGCCUAACACAUGCAAGUCGAACGGUAACAGAAAGCAGCUUGCUGCUUUGCUGACGAGUGGCGGACGGGUGAGUAAUGUCUGGGAAACUGCCUGAUGGAGGGGGAUAACUACUGGAAACGGUAGCUAAUACCGCAUAACGUCGCAAGACCAAAGAGGGGGACCUUCGGGCCUCUUGCCAUCGGAUGUGCCCAGAUGGGAUUAGCUAGUAGGUGGGGUAAAGGCUCACCUAGGCGACGAUCCCUAGCUGGUCUGAGAGGAUGACCAGCCACACUGGAACUGAGACACGGUCCAGACUCCUACGGGAGGCAGCAGUGGGGAAUAUUGCACAAUGGGCGCAAGCCUGAUG